RNAcentral lists this ribosomal RNA (253 nucleotides) under uncultured bacterium. RNAcentral's name for it is "partial 16S ribosomal RNA". It matches the Rfam family "Bacterial small subunit ribosomal RNA", at positions 524 to 776 of the family's 1533-position model. The record is from RNAcentral.
UACGAAGGGGGCUAGCGUUGUUCGGAAUUACUGGGCGUAAAGGGCGCGUAGGCGGCACGGCAAGUCGGGAGUGAAAGCCCGGGGCUCAACCCCGGAGGGUCUCUCGAAACUGCCGAGCUAGAGUGCGGAAGAGGCAAUCGGAAUUCCCAGUGUAGCGGUGAAAUGCGUAGAUAUUGGGAAGAACACCGGAGGCGAAGGCGGAUUGCUGGGCCGACACUGACGCUGAGGCACGAAAGCCAGGGGAGCAAACGGG